ANNGUAAUAGACAGUUAAGCAAUAUUUAUAAAUCAUUGGAUCUUUAGUACAGGAGUAAAAUCUAAAUACUAAAAGUUACACCUGACAUGGUUGUUUAUGGUGCUGAAUCUGUGAUAGCUUUAAGGGAAACUGGGAUUGGAUACCCCAUUAUUUUUAGCUGUAAAUAUAGUUUGAGCUUACCGGAGUACUACGAAUAAAAAGUUUAAAACUCAAAGGGCUUGGCGGUGUUUUAGACCUCUCAGGGGAACCUGUCUCGUAAUCGACAAUCCACGUUAGACCUAACCUUCCAUAGUAGCUCAGCCUGUAUACCGUCGUCGUCAGGUAACUUCUAAAAAUAUAGCAGUUAGCUCGAGAAUUUCUUUAUUAAGACGUCAGAUCAAGGUGCAGCCAAUAAGAAGGUGAGGAUGGGUUACAAUUACAUAUUCGUAAUCACGGAAAGAGACUUGAAAUAAGUGUCUUAAAGGAGGACUUGAAAGUAAUUUUGAUUAUAUAAGUAAAAUGAAUGCGGCUCUGAAACGUG
RNAcentral lists this ribosomal RNA (520 nucleotides) under Conus terebra. RNAcentral's name for it is "partial 12S ribosomal RNA". Lineage: Eukaryota; Metazoa; Mollusca; Gastropoda; Neogastropoda; Conidae. The record is from RNAcentral.